CCCCUCCCCCACAAGGUAGCUCUGGGGCCCAGCCACAGGGUGGCAGGGUAGCCAGCAUUUCCCAUCUUUCCUCUGCCAAGCCUAGAGCCCAUUAAGGCUUUGGCUGCAGACCCAUCCACCGAGGAUCAGUUGCUUGGACCUGUGCUCCUGUUCCCGCGGGUGUUGGCCAGAGAGGAGGCUGUCACCGUGAUCUCUGAGGACUGUACUUCACCGCCCUGACUCAAUACUUCACAUUAGUGUUGGCAUGCACUUAGGUAUCCGAGAACAUUUUCCCAGACACAAAGGUACCACAACGUGUGGAAAGAAAUUGAACAACCACCACGACUAUAGAA
Peromyscus eremicus (cactus mouse) is the source of this 332-nucleotide long non-coding RNA. RefSeq lists it as uncharacterized. The record is from RefSeq and is a predicted model, not a curated record. NCBI's taxonomy places the organism in Eukaryota, Metazoa, Chordata, Mammalia, Rodentia, Cricetidae. The transcript has 3 exons.